GACGAACGCUGGCGGCGUGCUUAACACAUGCAAGUCGAACGGUAAGGCCCUUCGGGGUACACGAGUGGCGAACGGGUGAGUAACACGUGGGUGAUCUGCCCUGCACUUUGGGAUAAGCCUGGGAAACUGGGUCUAAUACCGGAUAGGACCGUGCGCUUCACGGUGUGUGGUGGAAAGCUUUUGCGGUGUGGGAUGGGCCCGCGGCCUAUCAGCUUGUUGGUGGGGUGAUGGCCUACCAAGGCGACGACGGGUAGCCGGCCUGAGAGGGUGACCGGCCACACUGGGACUGAGAUACGGCCCAGACUCCUACGGGAGGCAGCAGUGGGGAAGAUUGCACAAUGGGCGCAAGCCUGAUGCAGCGACGCCGCGUGAGGGAUGACGGCCUUCGGGUUGUAAACCUCUUUCAGUAGGGACGAAGCGCAAGUGACGGUACCUACAGAAGAAGGACCGGCCAACUACGUGCCAGCCGCCGCGGUAA
Molecule: ribosomal RNA, 478 nt
Filed under: uncultured bacterium
Lineage: Bacteria
Description: partial 16S ribosomal RNA
Rfam family: Bacterial small subunit ribosomal RNA
Source: RNAcentral